RNAcentral lists this ribosomal RNA (440 nucleotides) under uncultured bacterium. RNAcentral describes it as "partial 16S ribosomal RNA". It matches the Rfam family "Bacterial small subunit ribosomal RNA", at positions 338 to 795 of the family's 1533-position model. The record is from RNAcentral.
CCUACGGGAGGCAGCAGUGGGGGAUAUUGCACAAUGGGGGGAACCCUGAUGCAGCGACGCCGCGUGGGUGAAGAAGCGCCUCGGCGCGUAAAGCCCUGUCAGCAGGGAAGAAAAUGACGGUACCUGAAGAAGAAGCCCCGGCCAACUACGUGCCAGCAGCCGCGGGAAUACUGAGGGGGCAAGCGUGACCCGGAUGUACUGGGGGGAAAGGGGGCGCAGACGGUGAUGCAAGCCAGGAGUGAAUGCCCGGGGCCCAACCCCGGGACUGCUCUUGGAACUGCGUGGCUGGAGUGCAGGAGGGGCAGGCGGAAUUCCUGGUGUAGCGGUGAAAUGCGUAGAUAUCAGGAGGAACACCGGUGGCGAAGGCAGCCUGCUGGACUGCAACUGACGUUGAGGCCCGAAAGCGUGGGGAGCAAACAGGAUUAGAUACCCGGGUAGUC